GACGAACGCUGGCGCCGUGCUUAACACAUGCAAGUCGAACGGAAAGGCCCUGCUUUUGUGGGGUGCUCGAGUGGCGAACGGGUGAGUAACACGUGAGUAACCUGCCCUUGACUUUGGGAUAACUUCAGGAAACUGGGGCUAAUACCGGAUAGGAGCUCCUGCUGCAUGGUGGGGGUUGGAAAGUUUCGGCGGUUGGGGAUGGACUCGCGGCUUAUCAGCUUGUUGGUGGGGUAGUGGCUUACCAAGGCUUUGCCGGGUAGCCGGCCUGAGAGGGUGACCGGCCACAUUGGGACUGAGAUACGGCCCAGACUCCUACGGGAGGCAGCAGUGGGGAAUAUUGCACAAUGGGCGGAAGCCUGAUGCAGCAACGCCGCGUGCGGGAUGACGGCCUUCGGGUUGUAAACCGCUUUCGCCUGUGACGAAGCGUGAGUGACGGUAAUGGGUAAAGAAGCACCGGCUAACUACGUG
This 468-nucleotide ribosomal RNA is filed under the name uncultured bacterium. RNAcentral describes it as "partial 16S ribosomal RNA". It matches the Rfam family "Bacterial small subunit ribosomal RNA", at positions 28 to 507 of the family's 1533-position model. The record is from RNAcentral.